GUCCUGGUCGGAUGCGGAACGGA
This 23-nucleotide small nuclear RNA is filed under the name Arabidopsis thaliana (thale cress). RNAcentral's name for it is "snRNA_13046". Lineage: Eukaryota; Viridiplantae; Streptophyta; Magnoliopsida; Brassicales; Brassicaceae. The record is from RNAcentral.